UUAUUCGAAUAAACUGGGGUAAGAUUGUUGCUGGCUCUUAGGAGUAUGUGCACGUCUAUUCCAUUUUUAUUUAACCACCUGUGAACUCUGUGUAGAUCUGAAAAACUUUCGAGGACAACUCGGUUACAAGGAAUUGCUGAGCAUAAGCCGGCUGUUCUUUAUCCUAUUUCAGAUCUAUGUUUUUAUAUACUCCAUAUCAAGUUUAAGAUUGUAAUUGUUAGGCAUAUUGUUGCCUUAUAAAUAAUCUAUACAACUUUCAACAACGGAUCUCUUGGCUCUCGCAUCGAUGAAGAACGCAGCGAAAUGCGAUAAGUAAUGUGAAUUGCAGAAUUCAGUGAAUCAUCGAAUCUUUGAACGCACCUUGCGCUCCUUGGUAUUCCGAGGAGCAUGCCUGUUUGAGUGUCGUGAAAUUCUCAACCUUUCGAGCUUUUUCUUUAAGAAGCUUUUGAAGGGCUUGGACUUGGGUGUUUUGCUGGUUCUGGCGAAUCAGCUCACCUUAAAUGUAUUAGCAAGAUAAAUCGCUGAAUCAUCUUUGAUAUGAUAAUUAUCUAUGUCAUUGACGACACAGUGCUUUUCCCGUCCAGGGGAAGGAUCUGGCUUCUAAUCGUCUUUUAAGACAACCUUAUGAAAUAUUUGACCUCAAAUCAGGUAGGACUACCCGCUGAACUUAAGCAUAUCAAUAAGCGGAGGAAAAGAAACUAACAAGGAUUCCCCUAGUAACUGCGAGUGAAGCGGGAAAAGCUCAAAUUUAAAAUCUGGUGGUCUUUGGCUACC
Molecule: ribosomal RNA, 774 nt
Filed under: Entoloma sp. No242
Lineage: Eukaryota; Fungi; Basidiomycota; Agaricomycetes; Agaricales; Entolomataceae
Description: eukaryotic LSU rRNA
Rfam family: 5.8S ribosomal RNA (bases 252-405)
Source: RNAcentral